Molecule: transfer RNA, 77 nt
Filed under: Ackermannviridae sp.
Lineage: Duplodnaviria; Heunggongvirae; Uroviricota; Caudoviricetes; Pantevenvirales; Ackermannviridae
Description: tRNA-Arg
Rfam family: tRNA
About the family: Transfer RNA (tRNA) molecules are approximately 80 nucleotides in length. Their secondary structure includes four short double-helical elements and three loops (D, anti-codon, and T loops).
Source: RNAcentral
GUCCUUAUAGCUCAAUCGGAUAGAGCAACAGCCUUCUAAGCUGUAGGUUACAGGUUCGAGCCCUGUUAAGGACGCCA